GAUGAACGCUGGCGGCGUGCUUAACACAUGCAAGUCGAACGGACUUUUAUUGAAGCCUAGCGAUAUAAAAGUUAGUGGCGCACGAGUGAGUAACGCGUGGGAAACUGCCCACCACUGGGGAAUAACGUUUGGAAACGAACGCUAAUACCGCAUACGCCGGAAACGGGAAAGAUUUAUCGGUGGUGGAUGUGCCCGCGUUGGAUUAGCUUGUUGGUGGGGUAAUGGCCUACCAAGGCGACGAUCGGUAGCCGAACUGAGAGGUUGAUCGGCCGCAUUGGGACUGAGACACGGCCCAGACUCCUACGGGAGGCAGCAGUGGGGAAUAUUGCACAAUGGGGGAAACCCUGAUGCAGCGACGCCGCGUGAGUGAAGAAGUAUUUCGGUAUGUAAAGCUCUAUCAGCAGGGAAGAAAAUGACGGUACCUGACUAAGAAGCCCCGGCUAACUACGUG
This 451-nucleotide ribosomal RNA is filed under the name uncultured bacterium. RNAcentral's name for it is "bacterial SSU rRNA". It matches the Rfam family "Bacterial small subunit ribosomal RNA", at positions 28 to 507 of the family's 1533-position model. The record is from RNAcentral.